This 438-nucleotide ribosomal RNA is filed under the name uncultured bacterium. RNAcentral describes it as "bacterial SSU rRNA". It matches the Rfam family "Bacterial small subunit ribosomal RNA", at positions 82 to 507 of the family's 1533-position model. The record is from RNAcentral.
CCGUUUUUGUUGAGUAGCGAACGGGUGAGUACGCGUGGGUAACCUGCCUUAUAGCGGGGGGAUAACUAUUGGAAACGAUAGCUAAUACCGCAUAACAAUAGAGAUUGCAUAAUCUUUAUUUGAAAGUGCCAACUGGUACACUAUGAGAUGGACCCGCGUUGUAUUAGCUAGUUGGUAGUGUAAUGGACUACCAAGGCGAUGAUACAUAGCCGACCUGAGAGGGUGAUCGGCCACAUUGGGACUGAGACACGGCCCAAACUCCUACGGGAGGCAGCAGUAGGGAAUCUUCGGCAAUGGACGAAAGUCUGACCGAGCAACGCCGCGUGAGUGAAGAAGGUUUUCGGAUCGUAAAACUCUGUUGUUAGAGAAGAAUGUUGAUUAGAGUGGAAAAUUAAUCAAGUGACGGUAUCUAACCAGAAAGGGACGGCUAACUACGUG